This is a long non-coding RNA of Rattus norvegicus (Norway rat), 6181 nucleotides long. The record is from Ensembl. NCBI's taxonomy places the organism in Eukaryota, Metazoa, Chordata, Mammalia, Rodentia, Muridae.
GGGGACCGAACCCAGGGCCUUGCGCUUCCUAGGCAAGCGCUCUACCACUGAGCUAAAUCCCCAGCCCCGGGAAUUCUUUAAUUUAGCAGACAUCAUUUAGACCUCAGCCACGUUAGACUGUCCCACAGGGCUUGAAGUCCUGUACUGUAGGCUAAGUGUGGCAGAUACAGUUCCACUGAAACAAAAAGGUGGACAUAAUUCUGUUGCUUUUCUGGAAUGGUGUCGUAGAAUGUGACCUGUGCAAACACUGUAUCCUAAAAUGUCCAUUUCCUUAGCUCCUCCUGUAGCUGAAUUUACAGAGCGUGAACCCAACGGGACUGGUGUUGGCCCUGGUAUGUUUUCUCUUCCGGUGUCCCCGGUUUGAGGUACUUUCAAAAGUCACUCUCCUGGAUGUGACACUUAAUUAGGAAAUGACGUCACUGCAUUCCAGUUUGUGCUUUAUAAUGUCGUUUUGCUGUACCUGAGGGAAAUGUCCUGUUAAAGAAGGAGAGAGAGGGAAAAGCAGGAAUAUCAACUCAAUGCUUCUUAACUGCUUGAGGCCAUAGGUCCCCUUUCAAAUCUAUGGCUCUCAUGGAUUUGUCCCUGAAAAAAAAAAAAAAAGGGACCGCACCUGGCUGACCCCCCUUUCUAAGAUUAAUAAUUCACUCACUGUAGUCGGUGACCUGAGGAGAGAGGAGACAGCAAAUGUGAAGUGUUCAGAAACCAUGCCUGUCCACAUGCUGAGGUUUAAAUUGGGCUGUCUCAGUCCUGAGCAUCCCCUCGGAGGACUGAAACCAAAUUAAAUAUUAGACUAAUUGGAAACAGUUGAAAGGACUGCUGGGCACUUCCCACCCUCCUGCCUGGCUCUCCUGGGCACACUUCAGUUCUUUCCUCAGGAGUUCCUGUAAAAUAUUUUAAAUACGUAUAAUUGCCGCUGCUGCCGCCACCGCCGCCACCACCAUCAUUACCACCAUCAUCACCAUCAUCAUCACUAUCACCGUCAUCACCACCAUCACCAUCAUCAUCACCAUUACCUUAUCACUGUCAUCACCUCUAUCACCAUCAUCACCAUCAGCACCAUCAUCAUCAUGGAAGAAGAUGAGGUGUAGAUCACAGUGCCCCAGCCUCUCCCUGAAACCAGAUAGUGAGGCUGUUGUAUUUCAUCCACAUGUCCCAUACCCUGGGCUUUUGACCCCUGGAUAAUAUGUAGAAGGCUAUGCCAGAGCCCGUGGAAUAUAUCAAAACACAUCGCACUUGGAUUCGGCCCAGGGAAUAAGAACUCUUUCCUGAGAAACCCAGCUGAUCUGAGGCCAAAGAAAGAAAACUUGUGAAGUCCUGGGGAGAGGAUUCAGACACACAGGUCUCUUGUAUGGCCACUUAGAGAACUUGUCCCUUGCCUUCCCCAUAGAGAAAUUGAAUCUGUAUUACUGGAAACCACCAGUGGCAAUGUGCCUGCACAGCACAGCCUGGAUGUGAUUUUUAAACAUAAUCAUUUUAUUGAAAGAGGCCUCAUAGGUGUCACCAUGGGAAUGCAGAACAAAUACUACAUUCUAUUGGUUGAAACCAAGGUCAAAAUUGACAAAGCCUUCAGUCAUACUUCUGGGCGUAAAGGGGAGCUGAAGAGAAUGGUAUCCCCAAGAGAGUGAUCUGUUGCCCAGCAUGGGGGCAGGAGACAGUGAGGACUCAGCACCCUGAAGGUCUGGUGCACAGGGGUGUGUAUAAUGAUCACCACCACUUCACUCUCAACUCUUUGCUAUUCUUGGGCUUUCCUGGAGGUGAGAUCAUCGUGUCUGUGCAUUGAACUUAUUCUCCCGGAGUGCAUGGUUGGAACCUCACUCCUUCCAUUGUAUGGUACAGCUAGAUGGGUGGAUCUUUAGCUGGUAUAGAGGCCAUGAGGAUAGACCCCUCUGGAAUGAGUGCUCUGAUUGAAGGGACCAGAGGAAGCCUUUGACCUUUUGCUCUUCCUCAAGAAGCAAUGAGAAGCCACCUUUCUAACCCAGGACCCGAACACGUUGGCAUCUUGUUCUCAGCUACCGGGACCAUGAGAAAGGAUAUUUGGUUGUUUAUAGAUCACGCAGCCUCAGGCAUCUAAAACUUCGUGAAAACCCAUUAUUCCUACGAGAGGAAGGCUCCAGAAAAGAGCACAGAGAAGGGCUGUUAGGUAGCUUAGACGAACACCUAGGAGGCCCCACUCACCCCUGCAAUGAAAUGUGGGUCAUCAGUCUUCCAGCAAGGAUCCACAGUGUGAAACUGUUUACACACAGACGUCAGGAAACCAUUCAAAAGCAACAGAGAAAACCAAUUCCGAGAAGUAAAGCUGACAAAACUACUAGCAUUUGAGAGGGUAUGUGGCCAAGGAGCCAAGGACCUACAACAGGUUUCAAAGAUGGCAGCCGAUGCCCUUCACAGGGAAAGGGCACAUCCUGCUCUGUGUGGAGUCUGAAUGGCUAUUUAUGACACAGAACUGAGAGUGAGAUUCAAGCUCUGGCAGCAGCAUGUCUAGGAGACAGCAAAUGAGGAGCCACGCUGAGAAUCCGUCUGUCUCUAGGGCACUCUGGCUGCCACGGGGAAACACUCGUCAAAGAAGGGGAAUGGCCAAGAGAGAAGUAAAAGUCAGCAAAUGCAAUGAGUCUGGUCAUGAAGAAAAUUCCAGCCAGACCACAAUAUAUUCUCCCUGGCACUGAGCUAGCUGAUGGCAGAGAGCCAACCACCCUUGAGGAAAAGGAAUCGUAGGAAAGAUGAAGGACGUUCCCUGACAGAGGUGAACCUUUUGCUUUGUUACUUCAGUUGUCUCUGAGUUAAACCUGCUCUUUCCCAUGGGCAACAAUGUUUCACAGCAGUGGCGGAUGACCCUGGCUGGCCCUUAGAGCAAUUAGGAGACUUUAAAGAACAGGACUUCAUCAAUACCAAACAACAGAAUGUCUGGCGGAAUGGCAGGCAGGUGUUUUUGAUGGACCUCUGAGGGUGGUUCCAGCAUUCUUCCUUACUCAGCUUCCAGCUCGCUCUGCCACUCACUGCCUACCCCAUCUCUAUGCUAUGAUCUGUAUUAGUGCGAGAGCCUUCUUGCCCCUGAGCUGUGGCCUCCUGCCUAAAUCACACCUUGCUUGUCCAACUCUUUUCUCAAAACUGUGCAUUUUAGAGCACUGUGGACUCUUUAGCAGAACUGACCAGAAGCACAGAGCUAUCCUAUACCUCGCCUUCUUUAAACAGCUUUUCUCAUUGUCCACAUCUUCAACAGACUCUUGAACUUUAUAAGCGCAGAGAAAAUUAGUUGAGCCCAAGUGAGCAUAUACGUAUUUAUUUCUCUGCCCUUGAAUGUAGCUAUACUGUGAUUGGCUGCUUCAACUUCCUAUUUCUUUGACUGCUCCACAAUAAUGGACAAUAAAUUGAAACUGUGAGCUAAAAAACACUCUUUCCCGCCUAAGUUGAUUUUUGUCAGGAUAUCUUAUUAAAGCAAUAGAGAUAAAAUAGGAAUAAUCCCUUUGGUCAUUGUCCAUUCUCACCCUGGAGACUGCCUCAGGUUCUGCCUCCACUUGUCUUCCUCGCUUCAUAUAAUUUCAUGUAACAGAGAUCACAUGGACCAGCGAGCUAAAUAGAAAUCAGCAUGAGAUCAGGUAACACUGAGGAAUGCAUGUGUCUUAAAAAGUUGGUACCAUAUCUUCAAGACUCUUUGAGGGCUUUAAGCAGAUAAAUGGUGUGGGAUGAAUUGCUGGUUCAGUGAGAAUCCGGUCACUGCUUUUGGGACUAGGAAGAGUGGAGCCAAUUCAUUCAUUCAGAUUUAUUCAGGACAUCAGACAAUUUACACUCUGAGGGUUAAGAAGACUCACAUGAAUAUAAUGUACUUACAAGGACAAGCUGCACACGCACGGCAAAGACAUGCUUUCCCAUAGAGCCAUAAACAUUUAAUUGAAUGACACCAGCAGGCAAUAAUGAGUAUCUGAAGUAAGCUCACCCAUCCCCCACAUCCGAGGCGAGCAGGAAAACAUACUCCAGGAACAAUUCUGUGUUUUGAAGAAACUAAGUCACAAGAUUCUUGUUUUCUUGAAGUUUUCUCACAAGCACUCAGAAUUCUCACAUGGAUCUAUUCCUGAACCACAGUCCCAUGAAAGCCUGGAGAGAGAGAGAGAGAGAGAGAGAGAGAGAGAGAGAGAGAGAGAGACAGACAGACAGACAGACAGACAGACAUAGAAGGACAGAGACUAAGAAAGAUCCCUCAGGUCAACCUUUGGCUUCCACAUGCAUGUGCAUUUAUGUGCAUGAACAUCCACUGGCACACAUGUAUACACACAGGUACACAGGUACAUAUGUACAUAUCAUACACACACAUACAAUAACACACAAACAUACACCGCAUGCUGUGAUAUUUUCAACCUAUGCUAGGUGGUGCGUCCACAGUGGGGUAGCAUUUCUGCUUCAGUCUAUUGCAAAGUCAGCCUAGAGGGUCAGGGCAGAUUUGUAGACUUGAGUUCAGCUACUGAGGAGAAAGGACAGGACUGGGUCCAGGUGAACCAAUAUUUGGUGGGUGAACGGCAGGUUAGACAGGUAAACAGGCAGGGGACAACUCAAGCCACAUCAGAUGUGGGUACUAAAGCAAGAUGGACCCUGAAGAGUUGGGUGUGCUCUGUGAGUGGUCCUUAAUGCACACAGAUAGUGGUGCACCAACAGGUGAGUGGGGCCAUCACAGUGAUGAAGCUAGAUGUGGGCCUGGCACCUCCAACACGUUGUGGUCUCCAAGGCAACCCAGGCUUCACCUUCAUAGCUUCAUGCAGUGGCCACUCUAGACCUCAAUUCAGAGAAACCCCUGACAUACACCUGGCCUCAGAGGCUUUCUCUAGUUGUGGGGGGAGAGUCUAUAACUCCUUUCUUCUAUCCUUGAUUCUAAAGACAGAGCCAUUAGCCAAAGUUGCCAAGUUCUGCUGCUUGCUGGACCUGGACCUUUUUCAAUUACACCUUUAUCAGCUUUGUUUUCAAUGGCUUCCUUCACAGCCUAAGCUUAGCCGUUCUGAAACUCACUCUGCAGACUAGGCUGGCCUAGAACUUAGUCUUCUUACUUUCUGAGUUCCUGGAUUAAAGGUGUGCACCACCAGGCCUGGCCCUAAGCUUUUCUUUAAUUCCUUUUCACUUUUGUCUUACUUAGGGUUCUAUUUUUGUGAAGAGACACCAUGACCAUGGCAACUCUUACAACGGCAAACAUUUGAUUGGGGUGGCUUGCAGUUUCAGAGGUUGAGUCCAUUAUCAUUAAGGUGGGAAACAUGGCAGUGUCCAGGCAGAUGGUGCUGGAGGAGCUGAGAGUUCAUCUUGAUCCACAGGCAGCAGGAAAGAGAUUGACUUCUGCGAUUGCAAAGCCCACCCCCAGUAACAAGCCUCCUCCAACAAAGGCCACACCUCCUAAUAGUGCCACCCCCAAUGGAUCUAUGAUUUUAUUCAAAACACCAAAGAUGUCUUCCUCCUUACGGAGCCAGGAUGAGAGAAUUGGACCCUUUCCUCAGCCUGAUGAGCUAAGUCCUCGGGCCUGUUUUUCCUGAUAAGAUUUUAAGAUGCCAUGUGCUCCUUUCUUUCUUUUUUUUUUUUCUUUCAUUUUUUCGGAGCUGGGGACCGAACCCGGGGCCUCUACCACUGAGCUAAAUCCCCAACCCCGUCAUGUGCUCCUAAAUCUCAAUUCACCUUGGUAAGCUGAUAUGUGGCACUCUCUUCUAGAAAUCAGUGUUUGAUCAGUCUGUGCUGCAUGGGUGUGCCUGGAAAAUGGUGCUGGUUAUGUGCCUAUCCAGUUGUGGACUCAGUCAUCCUUUAUCCUCAAAACAGACCCAAAUCUGCUCUUCUGAGGACAAGUACAAUCUAAAAAGAAAAAGCCAUCAGUUUAUGCAAUAUGCUCUCAACGCCACCUCCAACCUCAUUUGUCCAGUUUGUAAGACAGACAGACACACAGACCGACAGAUAUAUGUUACGUUCCUAAAGUCAAAAGAUACUACCUUAUAUAGUUAGCAGUUCAAAAUGGAACUGCAGUGUCCUAUGCAUUUAGCAAGAUGACGGGGCCGUGUGCGCACUUGCACAUAUUAAAACCCGAUCAGGCAAACAGACCCAAGAACUUGUGAACACAGUAGACUGAGAAUAGAACAUCUUUCCCUGGACCCCACAAGCAGAGGACCCGAAACACUGAGAUGGUGAUGGCCCAGCAACCUGUUACCGGACCUCCAAGUGUGAG